AGUUUGUGAUGAAAAAGCUAUGUCUAUUCUCCGAAGAAAUUAGGAUUACUUAUCUUGUCUCAUUGUGUGGUAAGGUGCAGUUGAAGCUUCUGCUAGUUAAAUUGCCAAAAUAUGGUAUGGAUAGACAGUUGGAGAGGUGCUUACAAAAUUAGUAUGUUGAGCACUUUCUAGAAACACUGUCAGUGUUAGUAAUAUGAUGUGAUAAUUUGCCACAUUCUGAACGAAAAAAAUUUAGGAUGUUUUGUUUAUUUGCUUGACGAAAAAGCGGAGCUUGUUGCAAAUUUGUUUAUGAGUUGUAUUGAAUAUGUUGGGCCUUUGUUGCUCGCUCUCAUUCUAUUGACUUUUCAUUACUUUUGUUGUGUGGAAGGUGCGCACAUACAAAUACAUUCGGCUGCAGGAGCAACAAGCUAAAGUCAAACAAAAAUCGUUCGCAGGUUGCAGUUCCGUCAAGUUCAGAGAAUGCAAACUACUGUAGAAAGUUAACCAUCUGCAGAGCACAAAGUGAAGAUUCUAAAGGUGGGGGAGGAUUCUUGGCUGGAUUUCUUAUAGGGGGAGCAAUCUUUGGAACAUUGGGAUAUGUCUUUGCUCCUCAGAUCAGCAGAACAUUGGACUCUUUGUUGGAUGAAAAUGGACAAGAUAGUGAAUCUGAUGAAACUGGCCUCCAAAGGGUUCCAGGACCACGGCGUGGUCAAUAUUAUGAUGAAGGCUUAGAGAAAACUCGUCAAACACUGGGCGACAAGAUAAGCCAACUGAAUCUGGCAAUUGACAAAGCUGCUUCGCGGCUGAAGCGUGUCACUGGCAAUGUGGAAAAUGAGGCUGUGAUAGACGAAACUGAAAUUGAGAUAUCCUCAUUGAGUGAUAGUGAGCAUGUGGUGGAGAACUUAAACGAACAUGGUUUUGUGCAAGGUGAAAGUGCAACAUAAUCAUCAUUCAGAAAAGGUUCAGCAUCAGGAGUUGCAGGUUCAUCCUGUGAACGUCAGAUUCUGCGUGCAAGCUGGAGAGCUGAAGCUGGGUAGUCUGUUUAACCGAUUGGCAGAAUGGAAAUGAUUCGCAUUCGCAGCUAGGAUCUUUGUACUCUUGGAAUUUUCUCGGAUAUUUCUGCCUCUUUUGAAGCCGUAGUUAUGGGAUAAGCAAAAGAAUCCAAGGACUUGUCUGCCUUAGCUUGAUGCCAUCGAUGUACUAAGUAAUGUUUUAGCUGAUUGCUUCUUACAGCUCGGAGAUAAAAUGAAAUGGCACUUCAUAAACUAAAUCUACUAGUUGGCAGCUUGGCAUCGUCGGUGCCGCCUCAGAACUGUCGGAAAUCUAUGCAACCACACCACCUUGCCGCCGGAGAAAUGAUUGUGCACUUAGAUGACCUCGAGGCAUCAAGGCAUA
Panicum virgatum (switchgrass) is the source of this 1374-nucleotide long non-coding RNA. RefSeq lists it as uncharacterized. The record is from RefSeq and is a predicted model, not a curated record. NCBI's taxonomy places the organism in Eukaryota, Viridiplantae, Streptophyta, Magnoliopsida, Poales, Poaceae. The transcript has 6 exons.